CGGCAGAGUUGUCUGCGUCCCAGGUUGUACUUCUCGGCAAUUCCCGAGUAAACCUGUUGUUGCUAGUAAAACAACCGGCAGUUUUAUUUUUAAGGGUAACAGAAAGCCUACGAGGGCCAGCCGCUGCAGGACCUGACCACCGAAGCAUUCCUGACACUGUGUAAUCCCAGGAAGAUGGAGUUCCACACCAGUGACUUGAAACCUGAAUAAGACAGACCCAGAAAUUGAGACAUAAAACUGCAGAGCAAGCUCGCAAGCAGAGGGGAAGGGCAAGGGGAGAGAAUCUUCAGCAGACUCCACAUUGAGCACAGAGCCGGAUGGGGCACCAUCUCACGACCCUGAGAUCAUGACCCGAGCUGAAACCAAGAGUCGGAGGCUUAACUGACUGAGCCACCCAGGUGCUCCUGAAUGCAAAUUUUUAAAGACAUAAUCAUACAUUCCUUUUGCAAGUCAUAAUGAAUUUUAAGACCAUCCAAACUCAUUUACUUGAAAAUAAAAUAUCACCCCAGCAACAGACAUGGUAAGAAGUCCCUGAAGGUAGAAACCCAUUUCCCUAGAAAUGGAUUUAUUUUGCAGUUAAAUAGUAAGUGAAGGAAGAAACAAGGGCGACUCUAUAGAAAUGUUUGUUUCAGGGCUCAGAUUUUAAAAAGUUACAGCUAUUGCCUCAGAAAGAACACUGUACUUGGAAACUGAAAAUAUGAGUUUGGGUCCUGGUUCUGUAAUUUGUCAACUCUAUUGCCUUGGAAAAAUAACUUCACCUCCCUAAAUAUCAAAAUUUCAAUCUUAAAAUAUGGAUAAAAUUAUAACAAGUACACAGUUGUAAGCACAAUGGCUAGUAAAAAUGGGCUGCUCAAUAAAUAUUUGUUACAUAAUGGUGUUUGUUUAUGAGAGUACUUUGCAAACUGUGGAUCAUAGCACUUUCUGUUACUAUAGUAACAGCACCUGACACACAUUACUUAGUUACUUAGUUGUUUUUUGUGUGUUCUGCCUCCCCCACCACACACACACAAAAUGCAAGCUCCAUGAAAGCAGGAAUCUUCACUUUUUUUGGAUCUGUUUCUCGAUUGUUUUCACUUUUUGGAAUUUAAAACAAAGGCCAUCAGGGCAGAGAAAUGGAUAAUGGUUGUGGAAAGAUUUUGUGUUUCAGUUUCUCUCUUCUCAUAUAAUUUUGAAAGCCAGACAGAGAUAUCUAUAGCAGAAAGAGCUCUUGGCUCUGAUUUACAUACCUUAACACAGUGAAUACAAUUUUCUCUUAAUAAAAAUUCAGUCUCGGGGGGCACCUGGGUAGCUCAGUAGGUUGAGCAUCUGCCUUCAGCUCAGGUCGGGUCUUGGGAUAGAGCCCCACUCGCUGCUCAGCAGGGAGCCUGCUUCUCCUCCUCCCUUUGCCCCUCCCCCUGCUUGUGCUCACCUGUGCUCUCUCUGUCAAAUAAAUAAAAUCUUAAAAAAAAAAAAAGGAAUUCAGUCUGGGGUGCCUGGCUGGCUCAGUCAGAAGAGCAUGCCACUCUUGAUCUUGGAGCUGUGAGUUUGAGCCCCAUGUUGGGGGUAGAGAUACUUAAAAAUAAAAUCUUAAAAAAAAA
Long non-coding RNA from Mirounga angustirostris (Northern elephant seal), 1577 nucleotides. RefSeq lists it as uncharacterized. The transcript is spliced from 3 exons. Lineage: Eukaryota; Metazoa; Chordata; Mammalia; Carnivora; Phocidae. The record is from RefSeq and is a predicted model, not a curated record.